Molecule: long non-coding RNA, 1312 nt
Organism: Gorilla gorilla gorilla (western lowland gorilla)
Lineage: Eukaryota; Metazoa; Chordata; Mammalia; Primates; Hominidae
Exons: 5
Source: RefSeq, a predicted model, not a curated record
CUCCGGUCUACAGCUCCCAGCAAGAUCGACACAGAAGAUGGGUGAUUUCUGCAUUUCCAACUGAGUGGGCAGCUGCACUGCAAACCCCACAGCUAAACAGCAUUAUUUAAUGAAAGAAUGGAGGCUGGUGGAAGAGGACACUCUUGUGAGGUCUACAGUGCUGAGACUAGAUAGAUCCUAAGCAGAGGCAAGAAGGAUAUACAGUCAUAGCAGGAUUCAAUUUGGCGGCAACAGUGCUUCUUGCAACAGCACCGAAUUCCUCAUUUGGUUACUGUGGAGCUUCCAGAAAUUUUGCUAGUGCUGAUUUUAGGUGCCAGCUUGCCAUAGCUUCAGGGCACUCUAGAUUUGGAGCAUUGGAGGGAAGAAGAGAAAGGUAUUCAGCAGCAUUACUCAGUCAACAUGUCCUGACGGUGUGUGGAGUGACCUUCUAGAUUUUGUGGGGAGUGAUGAUGGCAAUAUUUCCUGGAGAAGCACGCUCAAUAAAGGAGAAAUGGGAUUAACACAACUGACAAAACUGCACUAAGUGAUUGGAAAGUAGGAAGCGUGUGGGCAAAUGAAUAGGCUACUGGCCUGACUAAACCAGGAAAUCUCAGGCAGCACUGGAGUUCUGAAAGAAUUAAGGGGUGUGGCUGGUGGAAAGCUGACAAAACUCCCUCAGAGGGGGCAAUAGCAUGGAUAUGAAAUAGAAAUAAGCUAAAAAUAUUUAUUGUGUCCAUUGUACUAUAUACCAGUCAUUAAAAACAUGUGAAAUAGAGACAUUUUUAUAAGCUUGUAGGAGAAUAUUAUAUGCUCUCAUGGAAGAAAGACAACAUAUUAUAGUCAUUCAAAAAUGGAUGUCAAGUAAUAUAGUGAAUAUAGAUACCCAAUUGCAGAGGUAAAGCUGAAUUGUGUAGAAAGAGCUUUAGAGUUGGGUCAGGUGACAGAGAUAAAGGGAGAAAUGCUCUAUGAUAUGACUUAUAGAUGAAGUCUGGGGAUAAUAGAAAUAUUCUAGGAACGGGAUGAUGGUGAAUAUAUUGCUGCUCGUGAAGACAAUUCUAAUAAAAAAAUGCGUGGCUUGGAAAACAUACUUGCUUAGUUAGAUGCCUUGUUUGGACUAUGAUGAUAAAUUAGGUGGAUUCGUUAGGCAAUACACUUGACUUUAUAAAUAACCAACUGUAAAAUCUAAACAUUUACAUAAAUUUAUCAUGACUGUCUUAACAUGUGUUGUGUGCUUCUGAGUUUUCCGCUUCUCUUCCAUUUUGCCAAAUGAAAAAUCUGUCUCAAAUCCAAUUCUCCUACCGCUCUCUAAAGUGUUUGACCCUACAGCAGUCUU